UUGGGGAAUAUUGGACAAUGGGCGCAAGCCUGAUCCAGCCAUGCCGCGUGAGUGAUGAAGGCCUUAGGGUUGUAAAGCUCUUUUGUCCGGGAAGAUAAUGACUGUACCGGAAGAAUAAGCCCCGGCUAACUUCGUGCCAGCAGCCGCGGUAAUACGAAGGGGGCUAGCGUUGUUCGGAAUCACUGGGCGUAAAGCGCACGUAGGCGGACCAUUAAGUCAGGGGUGAAAGCCUGGAGCUCAACUCCAGAACUGCCUUUGAUACUGAUGGUCUCGAGUAUGGAAGAGGUUGGUGGAACUGCGAGUGUAGAGGUGAAAUUCGUAGAUAUUCGCAAGAACACCGGUGGCGAAGGCGGCCAACUGGUCCAUUACUGACGCUGAGGUGCGAAAGCGUGGGGAGCAAACAGGAUUAGAAACCCGAGUAGUCC
Molecule: ribosomal RNA, 425 nt
Filed under: uncultured bacterium
Lineage: Bacteria
Description: partial 16S ribosomal RNA
Rfam family: Bacterial small subunit ribosomal RNA
Source: RNAcentral